This is a long non-coding RNA of Dendroctonus ponderosae (mountain pine beetle), 307 nucleotides long. RefSeq lists it as uncharacterized. The record is from RefSeq and is a predicted model, not a curated record. NCBI's taxonomy places the organism in Eukaryota, Metazoa, Arthropoda, Insecta, Coleoptera, Curculionidae. The transcript is spliced from 2 exons.
CAACGAGAACUUUCUCAAAUUCGUAGAACGCAGGGCUUGAGCUUAUUGCAAGCUCCUCCCUACGCGAAGAAUCUGGGGUAAAUUGGACUCAAACUCCACGCAACCUGGGGGUGGGAAUCUGUCAAUAAAUAAGGGUGAAAUCACGGGCAGUACUAUUAGUUCAAAUUCGCAUUAGAGCAGCAAUUAUCAGUGUGAUUUCUUGUUAGUGUAAAAAUCAACAUCAGAUGUAUUCUCUCGAUCGACCACCUGACGAACUGCCAUUACACCUUGUCUACCGUUUGGGAGUGUAAAUAUAUGUUUUAUAGUA